GCGGGUGUAGUUCAGAGGUAGAACAUCAGCUUCCCAAGCUGAGAACGCGGGUUCGAUUCCCGUCACCCGCUCAA
This 74-nucleotide transfer RNA is filed under the name Acidimicrobiia bacterium BACL6 MAG-120924-bin43. RNAcentral describes it as "tRNA-Gly". It matches the Rfam family "tRNA". Rfam says of the family: Transfer RNA (tRNA) molecules are approximately 80 nucleotides in length. Their secondary structure includes four short double-helical elements and three loops (D, anti-codon, and T loops). The record is from RNAcentral. Lineage: Bacteria; Bacillati; Actinomycetota; Acidimicrobiia. RNAcentral also lists the same sequence under 5 other names.